Molecule: ribosomal RNA, 759 nt
Filed under: uncultured bacterium
Lineage: Bacteria
Description: bacterial SSU rRNA
Rfam family: Bacterial small subunit ribosomal RNA
Source: RNAcentral
GAUGAACGCUAGCUACAGGCUUAACACAUGCAAGUCGAGGGGCAGCAUGGUCUUAGCUUGCUAAGGCCGAUGGCGACCGGCGCACGGGUGAGUAACACGUAUCCAACCUGCCGUCUACUCUUGGACAGCCUUCUGAAAGGAAGAUUAAUACAAGAUGGCAUCAUGAGUCCACAUGUUCACAUGAUUAAAGGUAUUCCGGUAGACGAUGGGGAUGCGUUCCAUUAGAUAGUAGGCGGGGUAACGGCCCACCUAGUCUUCGAUGGAUAGGGGUUCUGAGAGGAAGGUCCCCCACAUUGGAACUGAGACACGGUCCAAACUCCUACGGGAGGCAGCAGUGAGGAAUAUUGGUCAAUGGGCGAGAGCCUGAACCAGCCAAGUAGCGUGAAGGAUGACUGCCCUAUGGGUUGUAAACUUCUUUUAUAAAGGAAUAAAGUCGGGUAUGCAUACCCGUUUGCAUGUACUUUAUGAAUAAGGAUCGGCUAACUCCGUGCCAGCAGCCGCGGUAAUACGGAGGAUCCGAGCGUUAUCCGGAUUUAUUGGGUUUAAAGGGAGCGUAGAUGGAUGUUUAAGUCAGUUGUGAAAGUUUGCGGCUCAACCGUAAAAUUGCAGUUGAUACUGGAUAUCUUGAGUGCAGUUGAGGCAGGCGGAAUUCGUGGUGUAGCGGUGAAAUGCUUAGAUAUCACGAAGAACUCCGAUUGCGAAGGCAGCCUGCUAAGCUGCAACUGACAUUGAGGCUCGAAAGUGUGGGUAUCAAACAGG